This 796-nucleotide ribosomal RNA is filed under the name uncultured bacterium. RNAcentral's name for it is "bacterial SSU rRNA". It matches the Rfam family "Bacterial small subunit ribosomal RNA", at positions 62 to 898 of the family's 1533-position model. The record is from RNAcentral.
GAGAAUAUUGUAGGAGAUCUUCUAGAAAGAUGCAGACGGGUGCGGAACACGUGGGAACAUACCCUUUGGUUUGGGAUAACUCAGGGAAACUUGAGCUAAUACCGGAUAAGCCCUUGGGGGGAAAGAUUUAUCGCCGAAGGAUUGGCCCGCGUCCGAUUAGCUAGUUGGUGAGGUAAUGGCUCACCAAGGCGACGAUCGGUAGCUGGUCUGAGAGGAUGAUCAGCCACAUUGGGACUGAGACACGGCCCAAACUCCUACGGGAGGCAGCAGUGGGGAAUAUUGGACAAUGGGCGCAAGCCUGAUCCAGCCAUGCCGCGUGAGUGAUGACGGCCUUAGGGUUGUAAAGCUCUUUCGCCAGGGACGAUAAUGACGGUACCUGGAUAAGAAGCCCCGGCUAACUUCGUGCCAGCAGCCGCGGUAAUACGAAGGGGGCUAGCGUUGUUCGGAAUUACUGGGCGUAAAGCGCGUGUAGGCGGGUCUUUAAGUCAGGGGUGAAAUGCCAAGGCUCAACCUUGGAACUGCCCUUGAUACUGGAGAUCUUGAGUCCGGGAGAGGUGAGUGGAACUGCGAGUGUAGAGGUGAAAUUCGUAGAUAUUCGCAAGAACACCAGUGGCGAAGGCGGCUCACUGGCCCGGAACUGACGCUGAGACGCGAAAGCGUGGGGAGCAAACAGGAUUAGAUACCCUGGUAGUCCACGCUGUAAACGAUGGAUGCUAGCCGUUGGGGAGCCUAGCUCUUCGGUGUCGCCGCUAACGCUUUAAGCACACCGCCUGGGGAGUACGGCCGCAAGGUUAAA